CAUUCUCCGGCUUAUAUUAGGCUUGGUUUUGUUUGGUGAUAAAUGAAAAUCUCCUCCUUAAAUUUCUUCUCACUUAACCACCGCUUCCUCCUCCUCCUUGAACCACCGCGAGUCAUUUUUCACACUGAUCCACCGCCGCACAUCAAUGUCUAUUGGUCGUGAAAUUAACACCAUUAAAUUUCUCUCAUUUUCAUCUUCAAAAGCCACCUAUUUCUUUUCCAGAUUCGUGAGAUUUGAAAAACCCUAAUCAUCACCUUCCCUCUUAAAUUCAUGCCACUAUGAACCUCAUUUUGAGAAACGAAAUUGAUAAUCCUUUUCCUCAUAAUGUCCGCAACAAAACCCCUAACUCUAUUUCUUGAUUUGAGCACUUUCAUAAACAACCACCGUGCCGAAAUUGAUAAUCCCGAAGCUUAUUUGAGAAUCCUUGCGACUCGAAUCCUUCAUCGUGGCUGAACAGAAAGAGAUAUGUGAGUAGCUUAAAUAAUUUUUUUUUGCCAAAUGAUGAAGUUUGUCUUAAUCUACUUAAUUAUAAAAGCAUAGGAAGAAUCUAUCUAUAGGCAUUCUAAAAUACAACAAGCUUGCUUGGUUUAGGUGGCAGUUGCUUAAUUUGAGAAAGAUUUUUUUUGCAGUGGUUGUACAUACAAAUUUUGCAAAUUCUGCAGCUGAUGUGUUUGUAAUAUGAACUUGCUAUUGGUAGUACACUAAAGAAGCAAAGUGGGAGAAGAAGCACAAUGGGAUAGGACAUUUUGAGUUUGAUUACUAUUUUAAAGUAGCAAACAAAGUGAAGAAGAAAUACAUUUCAACUAGAAUAGUCAUACUUGUAGAUAGUAUAAGUAAUGUAGUUUGCAAAAACAAUUGUAAUUUCUAUUUUAAAUUUAUGAUUUGAUUCACAACAUUAUAUUGCAAUCAAGUUCUAUUUUAUAUUGUAAUGAUGUUCAUUGGGAUUGUA
Long non-coding RNA from Medicago truncatula (barrel medic), 949 nucleotides. RefSeq lists it as uncharacterized. The transcript has 3 exons. The record is from RefSeq and is a predicted model, not a curated record. Lineage: Eukaryota; Viridiplantae; Streptophyta; Magnoliopsida; Fabales; Fabaceae.